GGUAGUUUUAGAUAUUAAGCCAAAAAUAACAAAUAUCCCGAACCUGGGUGAUCUAUCCAUGACUAGGAUGAAGCUUGGGUGAAACUAAGUGGAGGUCUGAACCGACUGAUGUUGAAGAAUCAGCAGAUGAGCUGUGGUUGGAGGUGAAAUGCCACUCGAACUCAAAGCUAGUUAGUUCUCUUCAAAAUGCGUUGAGGCACAACAGUUGACUAGACAUCUAAGGGUAAAGCACUGUUUUGGUGUGGGUUGCGAGAGUGGUACCAAAAGUCGAGGCAAACUCUGAAUACUAUAUAUGACCUCAAAAUAAUAGGGGUCAAGGUCGGCCAGUGAGACGAUGAGGGAUAAGCUUCAUUGUCAAGAGGGACACAACUCGGAUCACCAGGUAUGUAACACCCCUAACCCGUAUCCUUCUCUAGAAUAGGGUUAUAGAGCAUUACCGGAGUUUACAAAUUCAUUUUCAGACAUUUC
Gossypium raimondii (Peruvian cotton) is the source of this 468-nucleotide non-coding RNA. The record is from Rfam. NCBI's taxonomy places the organism in Eukaryota, Viridiplantae, Streptophyta, Magnoliopsida, Malvales, Malvaceae.